This 543-nucleotide ribosomal RNA is filed under the name uncultured Escherichia sp. Its description in RNAcentral is "bacterial SSU rRNA". It matches the Rfam family "Bacterial small subunit ribosomal RNA", at positions 28 to 560 of the family's 1533-position model. The record is from RNAcentral. Lineage: Bacteria; Pseudomonadati; Pseudomonadota; Gammaproteobacteria; Enterobacterales; Enterobacteriaceae.
AUUGAACGCUGGCGGCAGGCCUAACACAUGCAAGUCGAACGGUAACAGGAAACAGCUUGCUGUUUCGCUGACGAGUGGCGGACGGGUGAGUAAUGUCUGGGAAACUGCCUGAUGGAGGGGGAUAACUACUGGAAACGGUAGCUAAUACCGCAUAACGUCGCAAGACCAAAGAGGGGGACCUUCGGGCCUCUUGCCAUCGGAUGUGCCCAGAUGGGAUUAGCUUGUUGGUGGGGUAACGGCUCACCAAGGCGACGAUCCCUAGCUGGUCUGAGAGGAUGACCAGCCACACUGGAACUGAGACACGGUCCAGACUCCUACGGGAGGCAGCAGUGGGGAAUAUUGCACAAUGGGCGCAAGCCUGAUGCAGCCAUACCGCGUGUGUGAAGAAGGCCUUCGGGUUGUAAAGUACUUUCAGCGGGGAGGAAGGGAGUAAAGUUAAUACCUUUGCUCAUUGACGUUACCCGCAGAAGAAGCACCGGCUAACUCCGUGCCAGCAGCCGCGGUAAUACGGAGGGUGCAAGCGUUAAUCGGAAUUACUGGGCG